CCGACUCCUACGGGAGGCAGCAGUGGGGAAUAUUGCACAAUGGGCGCAAGCCUGAUGCAGCGACGCCGCGUGAGGGAUGACGGCCUUCGGGUUGUAAACCUCUGUUAGCAUCGAAGAAGCGAAAGUGACGGUAGGUGCAGAGAAAGCGCCGGCUAACUACGUGCCAGCAGCCGCGGUAAUACGUAGGGCGCGAGCGUUGUCCGGAAUUAUUGGGCGUAAAGAGCUUGUAGGCGGUUGGUCGCGUCUGCUGUGAAAGGCCGGGGCUUAACU
This 270-nucleotide ribosomal RNA is filed under the name uncultured bacterium. Its description in RNAcentral is "partial 16S ribosomal RNA". It matches the Rfam family "Bacterial small subunit ribosomal RNA", at positions 332 to 614 of the family's 1533-position model. The record is from RNAcentral.